This 1381-nucleotide long non-coding RNA is filed under the name Coffea arabica (coffee). Its description in RNAcentral is "long non-coding RNA (CARA_LNC002776)". Lineage: Eukaryota; Viridiplantae; Streptophyta; Magnoliopsida; Gentianales; Rubiaceae. The record is from RNAcentral.
GUUUGUCUUUAAAAGAAAUGAAAGAAAGUUUUGUACGUUUAUAUGUUACGCCUAGCAUUAUCUGAUUAUGAAAUAUUGUUAUACCUAUGGUAUUGUUCCUUAGGGAAUUUACUUGCUUAAAGAUAAGAUUUAUGUAGAAUUUCAGAUCACAAAGUUGAAAUUCUUGAAUCCUGAUUAGAUGUUUUGUGUGUGAUGAAGCAUGUGGCCUACGAAUAUGCAAGGAGAGGUGCUUGCUUGGUUCUUGCAGCAAGAAGAGUGAAUAUAUAGUCUUCGAGAAGUUGCCGAGUUAGCCAAAAUACCUGGUUCCCUCCUGUGCCUGCAGAUGUUUCCAAAGUCGAAGACUGCAAACGAUUGAUUGAAACUACCAUUGAACAUUUUGGGCAAUGUAAGUUUAUUCAAGUACAACAACACUUGCACAGCUGCACCUCUAAUUUUUUCCAUGUGUUGCACUUUCUUGCAUUUUGUUUUGUGCAAAAUUUUUUAGGCUUGUCGUUGCAUUUGACUUGACUCGUGCUUAAAUGAGAAGUUCAACUACAAUAUGAGAUGAAAUGGGGAUAUCAUAUAGUUGAAAAGGAUAAUUACGCUCACCUUCCUUGAGGUUUACAGUAACUUAUAGCAUAUACUCUGUAGCCUUUCUGGAAUUACAACUGACCUUCUAGUUAUGCUUUGGAUUACGAUUGAGAACCGAUAUCUGGGGUUAGUGCAGUUGGCAAGCAGUGCCAGAGUUAUUUUCGAUGUUAGAACGACUGUCUUCUUAACCCCAAUUGUAGCAAAGCCUGAAAAGCAAAAUGAAAAAGAUUUGUAGUAACACUUUCGUUAUGACAUAAAAUGGAUACAAGUCUAAUCAGAUUCGUCCAACACCCCAAAACUGCGGCUUCAGGACGGGGGGCGGGAUGAGAGGGGAGAAAGGGCUUGUUAAUUCCUUCAUAUGAAACUAUGAAUUGAUGCUUAAUUGGUCUUUAUAGAUGCAAAUUUCAUCUAGUAGUCAACAUGAAGUUCUGUUGUAUGUUUCUCGAUGUACAUGUAUUUUUUAUCCUGAAAUUUCAGGAGGUGUAUUUAUUAACUCAGUGGAUCAUCUCGUCAACUGUGCUGCCGUCGCGACCCUCGCCUUAUUUGAAGACUCAGGAGGUUGAUGUCGACAAUUUUGCCCCGGGAAUGGUAAUGAAAAAACUAAUUCCAGUAUCUGUAGUAACAAUAAUGUUAGUUAUUCAUUCAUCUGAAGCUAGAACUCUAGAAAAUGACCAAUCUAUUCUGGAGUCAGUUGACACAAGUAUCUUUCUCAUUGUUUGAUUAAGGGAACUUUGGUCAAUAUGAUCUACCUUCUGUAUUUGUAGGACAUAAACUUUUGGGGUUCGGUUUAGACAACCUACUAUGCAAUUCC